GCAGCGGCUCAACCGCAUGGUCGCACCUGGAGCUCGGAGUUGAAAUAAUUCACUGUGAACAUUUCUUACAAGCUGCAAUAGGAGCAACGGAAAGAAAGGAAAAUCAGGCAGCCAAAUUGCCAGAUAUAUAGUGGGAGCACAUUAGCUGAAUGAUAGGUGGGUCUCACAAUCGGAAGUUGCUAAGAGUGUUAAAAUGCCAUCCAUCUUCCAUCUUUCCACUAAACAGAGAAAACUAGAAUGCUAUGAGAUCCAUUUUUUAAAAAAAAGAUCAUUCCAUCCCAAAUUGUUCCAAACCAAACAAUUGCUGGGAGGAUCACCGGGACGGGAUGGGGUGAACCCAAAUUCAGCGGCCAUGACCUUCUUCCUCUUUGAGCUUUUGGUCAUGCCCUCUUCUUCGUCGAGCUCCUGCCCACGCCAUCUUCUUCUUCGAGCUCCCGGCCGCUGGAUGCACAAGCGGCGCAGGGCGCGGCGCUAGGAGGUCCGAGCGGCACUCGGAGGCAGUGCUAAUGAAGCGGGUGGGCUAGGAGACAACGUUGGGGAGGUGGCGAGGUGCUAGAAAGGGGCGAGUAGAGAUGGGACGACGGUGUUGGAGAGAGAGACGAGCAAUGAUGGGGCAACGGUGCUAGAGAGGGACGAGCAGAGCUGGAGAGGAUGACGGUGGCAAUGGAAAUCGGGGGUAGCGAUGGAAGUGGCGGCGAGGGAAGUAGAUAUGGAGAGCCAACGCUGGCAUACGAGAGGCACGAAAACAGUAGCUAACUCUAUUAGGAGUCUAUUCGUUUGUCUGAAAAUUCAUGACUGUACCAUUCAUUUAUUUGUUACGAGAGAGAAACACCGCUGAAUAACUAACACAUUCAACAGAUAAGCUUAAGUGAACAAGAUCGGUCAUCCAUGUUACUUAACUUAUAUACUCUAACUAAACAAAUAAGAAAGACAAUUUAUCCCUCUUAGGUCUUCCACAAUGUUAUGCUUGGGUAGUGCUAAAAGAGGAGAGAGAACAUUUAAGACACUCCACACGCUGUGUAAGGAGGUGCCAAUGCCAAAAAAAUGGAGCGGAGAAAGUAGUUACGUCGGUGCUCUAAACAAC
This 1084-nucleotide long non-coding RNA is filed under the name Sorghum bicolor (sorghum). RNAcentral's name for it is "long non-coding RNA (SBIC_LNC000556)". Lineage: Eukaryota; Viridiplantae; Streptophyta; Magnoliopsida; Poales; Poaceae. The record is from RNAcentral.